CACGAAAUUAGAUAGACAGAUCGACAAUAGUAUUGAAAAUCAGUAUUUAUAUGCUAAUUGAAAUUUGGAUAAGAAAAUGAAAAAAAAAAAGUUCAAAAGGCUUGUCCAUGGGGUUAAAAUAUUAAGCGCGCGCUCGCGGAGCAGAGCGUUGGGGUCAUUUUAAAACAAAUACCGCGUGGACACAAAGUCCGCCGUUCAACGAUGUUCUGACAGACGGGUUGUUGUCCAACGUGGCCCGAGAGUCAUGUAAACGCAAUCUGGGUCAGUGACAGUUCCACACUGGCCGGCGGACCAGGAGCAAGGAAAUGUUUUGGCUAUGCCUGUCCUACUUUGGGAUUUCACCAUUUCCGUUUCCCCCGAACAAUAUGACACAAAAAUAGAUCAGUGGUCUCCAGCCCUGGUCCUGGAGAGCUACAGGGUCUGCUGGUUUUUGUUUUCACCUUAAAAUCAGCACCCAGUUGAGACCCAAGACACCAGGAGAGCACCUCUUCACUAACAAAAAAGACCCUGACCGAUCGAAAUGAGGACACACGAUGACCAGCACUAUGCCUGAAACAAGCAUGCGACCGCUGGAGAAGAUAUUGGCUCUGGAUAUAGACACUGUACCCGGUCCUUGUAAUAUCCCAAUGAACAGCCAUUAGCAGUGUCGAUUCCUCAGCAGACCCCUCAUUACAGAGGACUUAAUGGAGCCCUGUAGCAGAUGGCAGCUGUCUGCGCCAUCACUUUCAGCUGCUCUUUAUGGCUGCUCGUUUCCAGCUCAGAUUAGGGAGCAGAACAUGCUAUCAUACUGCUGUGUGUGUGUGUGUGUGUGUGUGUCUGUUUGUGUGGGCAUGUUUUACUAUCUUUAUGAGAACCAAAUGUCCCCACAAGGAUAGAAAGAUGAGGAAAACUAUGCAAGGUGGGGACUUUUUGCUGGUCCCCACAAGUUCAAGAGGCUGUUUUAGGGUUAUGACUUAGGGUUGGGGUUAAGGUUAGGCACGUAGUGGUUGGGGUUAGGGUUAGGAGUUACGGAAUGAAUGUAAGUCAGUGGGAAGUCCUCACAAGUAUAGCAAUACAAAAGUGAGUGAGUGAGUGAGUGAGUGAGUGAGUGAGUGAGUGAGUGAGUGAGUGAGUGAGUGAGUGAGUGAGUGAGUGAGUGAGUGAGUGAGUGAGUGAGUGAGUGUGUGUGUGUGUGUGUGUGUGUGUGUGAGACUGAGAGAGAGACAGAGAGAGAGAGAGAUGCAAAGGGUGUGAGCUUGAGAGGCUAACAGAGGAAGUGUGACAUGCACUGCUCUCACCUUGUUCUUUGACUGAGGCUCGGCUACCUUGAGCACUUCGCUCCACAAUUAAGGCACUGGUGAAUGUCAUGAACUCCUGUACACUGAGAGAGAGAGAGAUACCAUGGUGGUAAUGAGGCAUGAUGUCACUAACAUCGAACACCAGAUUCCUAGCAUCAUUCAAAAGCAAACACUUGACACUUGUUGGAAAAUUAAUAUCAUAUCCCCUACACUCAGCACAGACAGACACCUUUAUUACACAGCAUAAAAUGAAACCUACUCACAGCAGCAAAUAAGAAGUUACUUGUUCCUUACCAUUUCCUGUUCUGCAUCACUGCAUUUAAUUUGCUUACCAGACACCUUUAACUGACACAUGACAACCACACAUAAAUGUGGAAUAUAUUUUCAGAAUAUAACUCUGACAGCAGCAGUGAUUUUUAACGAAAGUAACAAGGAAGAGAAUAAAAUGGUUGCCAAGCUGCUCUCUCCCACCUACCUGGACCGCUGGAAGAAGCUGAAAGAGGAGAGGUCGUAGGCAGCCUUGAGAAGGUUCGCCUUGGUGGAGCCUUUGUGAAGGACGCUGAGGCUGUACAGCUUCAUUGCGAUUCGGGGGUGGACAACCUCUUCUCAAAGAUUUGACAGCUGCUGCAAGGCCACGAGGAAGAGAGAGCUAAUGACACCGCUCACGCACAGCGGCGCGCUAGCAUACACAGAGCCAACGACACUGUUCACGCACAGCGGCGCGAUAGCACACAGAGCUAAAGGCACGGCUCACGCAAACUCCAUUAUCAGUCCCCACAUCUACUGUGCCCACCCCACUCGUCCCCCAGCAACCGCAGUCCAAUGGAACAUCGCCUUUUUUCCAGCUGCGCUGCCACUGAACAGGCUCUAAUUGGGAUGGCAACACUCUAUAAUAAGGCAUCUUAUUUCAUUCCCUGUGCAAAAUAAGAUUUAAAACAAUACAAGCCUGCAACAGAUUGUAAAGGCGAUGGGCUUCACUAAAUUAUGCCCGUUUAUUAAGUUAGCAGUACUUACAGAUAUUCAACUUAACCGAUAGAGUAAUUGCACUUGUUCAAUUGGGCGUAGAAUAAUUAAUUUAAUCACGUAUGCUUAAUUGAAACACCUUCCCUAAAUGCAUUUCAUGGGAAAAUAUUAUUCAAAAUGCAUUACAUAAACAAUAUAACCAUUAUAUAAACAGACCCAUGUACACAACAGCAUGUCUUUGAUAAAAUAGGUUCAGAGCUGACGAAAAUUCAGUAUUCGAUUAAGAGCAAAUAAUUGAAACCUCAAGAAGAUACAAACAUAAUUGACCUAUUGACUCUUGGCGUUUUGGUUACUCUGGUGCCCACAUCUAGCUUGACAGACACGUCAGAAUGGCGUGCAUUGAAAAGAAAACAAAAAUGAAAUAACGUCCUAGCUGAAGGCAGGGAUAAAAAAAACUGGCAAGUUUUUACGCGUCAUCCAAAUGUUGCGUUAAGCAGAAAAUACACACCACGUAAGGACCUUAUAAACGGUCACAAUACCGUUUUAACUAGUGUUACUAAAAGUAAGAAACAACAAAUAUUUGCACCGGUAACAGUCUGGAUUUCUGUACCGUUACACAUCUGCCUAAUUUGCACAGUGAUGCAGGCAAAUUCAGGUAUACAAGAAAGGGUCCCGUAGUCCUGACCAAGAAAUACCUUGGAAUACCACAUGCGAGAACGCAAACCUACACUCUUCUUACAAUCUUCUAUUCAAAAUAACGUAGCAAUGACUCGAAAAAGUGUUACUGGUUAACAAGUUCGCCGCAAUAUUUUGUCGAGUAACGCCUGACAAUCUUUAAACAAUUCACCGUUAUUGGGCAAAGGACCGCGGCCUGUUAUAGCCAAAGCGUCUCCAAGUAACUUUUAAAUGUAAGCUUCUCAACAGUUAGCUAGCUAGCUAACUAGCUAGCUUAUUGUCAGCCAACUAGUUUUGAUGACCACAUGUCUAUGUUGAUGACUACCCUGUUUGAUCGGGGGAAUUUCACCCAGCUCGCUACAUAGCAAGCUAGUACUUAGAAGCUAGUUCACUAUUAAAGAUGUGAGCACCAACGUUGCAGCUAGGUUAACUAGGGAUUUGAUAAUAACCUAGCUAGAUAAGUUAAUAGUUGGUGAGAACGUCAAGCGUAGCUAACGUUAUUAUUUCCCACAAGAACGUGGUGCCACCUUCUCUAAAAAUGAGCAAGUUUGAUCUUGUUGACAUGUUUAUCCGGUGAACGCUCUCUUGAUAAUGUGAGCUAACGUUACUAACCUUGCUUUCCUUGUUGCUUUCUUGAUAGCAGCUAGGAAGCUAACUAACGUUAGCUACAAUAACCCGCCUGAAAGCAAAACUUUCCGUAGCCGUCCACGAUUAAAGCGAAAAUUAUAGUAUUAAUGACAUAGGUAAUAAACGGUCUUAUGUAUUCGGAGAAGAUCAAACGAAAAACCGAUCUGGACUGACGACUGACUGACUGACUGACUAGGUGUGUCUUCCAAACCGCGAAA
Long non-coding RNA from Anguilla rostrata (American eel), 3760 nucleotides. RefSeq lists it as uncharacterized. The record is from RefSeq and is a predicted model, not a curated record. The transcript has 5 exons. NCBI's taxonomy places the organism in Eukaryota, Metazoa, Chordata, Actinopteri, Anguilliformes, Anguillidae.